Molecule: non-coding RNA, 72 nt
Organism: Podarcis lilfordi (Lilford's wall lizard)
Lineage: Eukaryota; Metazoa; Chordata; Lepidosauria; Squamata; Lacertidae
Source: the annotation of a GenBank genome assembly
AGGGUUGUGGCUCUGUGGUAGAACAUCUGCCUUGCAUGCAGAAAGUUCUGGGUUCGAUCCUCAUCAUCUCGA